CAACAACUCCUCUGCCUGCACUGUACAGUAAUCAACUAACUAUACAGAAAGAGGAGGAGAACAACAAUUCCUCUGCCUGCACUGUACAGUAAUCAACUAACUAUACAGAUAAAUAGAGCUAUGUUACUGCUCAUGUUACAUUCAAUAUUAAUUACAAUAUUUCAAUAUUAGUUCUAAAUAGGAUAAUAUAUUUCAGGAAAUAGUUAAUAACUUUCAUUACCCAUAAGUUGUUUUUUUAAAUUGUUAAACUUGUCUUUGUGAAGAUUAAAUGAGCUGGUUUCAACUAAAGGUUUACAAAGACAUGUUCUACAAGGAAUUAGAGUACAACUAAAGAUUUACAAAGAUAUGUUCUACAAGGAAUUAGAGUACAACUAAAGAUUUACAAAGACAUGUUCUACAAGGAAUUAGAGUACAACUAAAGAUUAACAAAGAUAUGUUCUACAAGGAAUUAAAGUACACUUCUUUCAAUCAUUUAAGCUGUGAUAAUUCUUUGUGCUUUAUAAUUCAUAAAAUAAUUAAAUGUUACUUAGUUUUUCAGUUUAAAUUUUGUAAAAUAAUUUGAUUUGUAUAUAUGUUAUAUUGUCUGUUUUGUUUUUAAAUUUUAUUUCUCACCUGGUAACUGUUAAUUUUGUCAAAAGUAAGAAAUGGUUCUUGUACAAUACUGAAGUUGAUUGAAUCAGCUGCUUGUUAAUGUAGUGUUGAGAUGUAUAGUUCCUUGGUCCUAACUGACUUUAUCAUUAAUGAACAGUGUAGGAUACCUUCUAACCAUUAUCCCUCCUGAAAGGUUAGUAUUGUAAUAUUUUAUCAUGUAGGUUUCUCUUAAUAGAUGUAUUUUUCAUUCAUGUUUGUUAUUUUAUGUCAUAAUGGUGUUGGGCAUUUGGAAAUAUUGUGUAUAACCAAUGUAUGUCUUUUUAUUCUCUGUAUACAUGAUUUAUUGUGUAUAACCAAUGUAUGUCUCUUUAUUCUCCGUAUACAUGAUUUAUUUUUACAAAUCAAAAGUCUCAAUAAUAUAUUUCAAAUCCAAUGAACAUAAAGUAGAUUAUACUGCAAUCAGCUAUUUUACUAUACAGAUAAAGCUA
Molecule: long non-coding RNA, 1079 nt
Filed under: Mytilus galloprovincialis (Mediterranean mussel)
Lineage: Eukaryota; Metazoa; Mollusca; Bivalvia; Mytilida; Mytilidae
Source: RNAcentral